RNAcentral lists this non-coding RNA (137 nucleotides) under marine eukaryotic metagenome. The record is from RNAcentral.
AGUGGAGGAGGAUUCCACACGGAUAAUUGUCGAUCGGUCCGGUAGCUGACGAGCGGCUUGGUUCGGGUAACCGGCCGGGCUGAAGCCUCGUGACAAAGGUCGCCCUGGGCGGCUGAGCGAUCCGGCGGGCCGUAACA